RNAcentral lists this ribosomal RNA (1316 nucleotides) under Staphylococcus sp. FXY04. RNAcentral describes it as "bacterial SSU rRNA". It matches the Rfam family "Bacterial small subunit ribosomal RNA", at positions 56 to 1353 of the family's 1533-position model. Lineage: Bacteria; Bacillati; Bacillota; Bacilli; Caryophanales; Staphylococcaceae. The record is from RNAcentral.
UGCAGUCGAGCGAACGGACGAGAAGCUUGCUUCUCUGAUGUUAGCGGCGGACGGGUGAGUAACACGUGGAUAACCUACCUAUAAGACUGGGAUAACUUCGGGAAACCGGAGCUAAUACCGGAUAAUAUUUUGAACCGCAUGGUUCAAAAGUGAAAGACGGUCUUGCUGUCACUUAUAGAUGGAUCCGCGCUGCAUUAGCUAGUUGGUAAGGUAACGGCUUACCAAGGCAACGAUGCAUAGCCGACCUGAGAGGGUGAUCGGCCACACUGGAACUGAGACACGGUCCAGACUCCUACGGGAGGCAGCAGUAGGGAAUCUUCCGCAAUGGGCGAAAGCCUGACGGAGCAACGCCGCGUGAGUGAUGAAGGUCUUCGGAUCGUAAAACUCUGUUAUUAGGGAAGAACAUAUGUGUAAGUAACUGUGCACAUCUUGACCGGUACCUAAUCAGAAAGCCACGGCUAACUACGUGCCAGCAGCCGCGGUAAUACGUAGGUGGCAAGCGUUAUCCGGAAUUAUUGGGCGUAAAGCGCGCGUAGGCGGUUUUUUAAGUCUGAUGUGAAAGCCCACGGCUCAACCGUGGAGGGUCAUUGGAAACUGGAAAACUUGAGUGCAGAAGAGGAAAGUGGAAUUCCAUGUGUAGCGGUGAAAUGCGCAGAGAUAUGGAGGAACACCAGUGGCGAAGGCGACUUUCUGGUCUGUAACUGACGCUGAUGUGCGAAAGCGUGGGGAUCAAACAGGAUUAGAUACCCUGGUAGUCCACGCCGUAAACGAUGAGUGCUAAGUGUUAGGGGGUUUCCGCCCCUUAGUGCUGCAGCUAACGCAUUAAGCACUCCGCCUGGGGAGUACGACCGCAAGGUUGAAACUCAAAGGAAUUGACGGGGACCCGCACAAGCGGUGGAGCAUGUGGUUUAAUUCGAAGCAACGCGAAGAACCUUACCAAAUCUUGACAUCCUUUGACAACUCUAGAGAUAGAGCUUUCCCCUUCGGGGGACAAAGUGACAGGUGGUGCAUGGUUGUCGUCAGCUCGUGUCGUGAGAUGUUGGGUUAAGUCCCGCAACGAGCGCAACCCUUAAGCUUAGUUGCCAUCAUUAAGUUGGGCACUCUAAGUUGACUGCCGGUGACAAACCGGAGGAAGGUGGGGAUGACGUCAAAUCAUCAUGCCCCUUAUGAUUUGGGCUACACACGUGCUACAAUGGACAAUACAAAGGGCAGCGAAACCGCGAGGUCAAGCAAAUCCCAUAAAGUUGUUCUCAGUUCGGAUUGUAGUCUGCAACUCGACUACAUGAAGCUGGAAUCGCUAGUAAUCGUAGAUCAGC